AUUCUGAAUAGCAGUUUUGUGUGCGGAAAAUGUGGAAAAUUCACGCUCAGCUGCGUGAAUUUUCCGCAUUUUCCUCACGGGAGAAAAUAAUAGUGUGUGGUGCAGUGCUGAAUCAUUCAACAGUUGCGGCAUUUCAACAGUGACAAGGACGUCAAACCGGUGCGCGGUGCAUAAGCAAUCAACCCAGAGCUUGUUGAAUGCCGAUCUAAGCAAGAUCUGCAUGAGGGCCAACGGACUUAUUGUAAAAAUACUAAUUUUCCCUUCCUCUAAUUUGACCGCAAUCUUGACUGCAAUAGUUUCAUCAUCAAACUUUUUUUCGUGAAAUCAAAUGUGAAACAUAUUACUGACUAGAACCGUAGAACCAUCUUUUGCAUUUGGUAGCUUUGCAAGGUUUUUAAAUAUAGGUUCGCUCUUUAAGCUUGGAACACAUGCAUGCCUUUGAAUCAAAUUCUAUAUUGUAUGCUGUAUUCCACAAGCUGUAGUUCAUCAAAUGUCCAUAAAUGCUACAAUAAUGGUUAAGCACGCUGUAAUGUUACUUUUGUACCUCAUCACCCACUAAAUGCAACUACAUUAGUGGUCUAAUAACACUUAGCGCGCUUCGGCACGGUUCCAUCAUGCCGCUUAUAGUGUUGCCACAUAUAAUGCUUAGUUUGCUAAACCCAGUUAUCUGGCUGGUGGGACAUGGGAGCCCAAGCUUCAUCCAUUAAUGCAAUUAGACGUUUAUUGAACAAUAAAAUGAGCGAUUCGAAUAUUUGAAGAACAUUCAAACAACAUAGAAGCUUGUGUAAAGUCAACAUUUAACGAACUUAAUCUAUGCAAUAUCUUGCAUUUUAACGCUUCGAAUGAUGUUCAAGUAUAGGUUCAAGUUGUAGUAUAUCGAGUUUUUUUUAGUGCUACAAUAAUGGUUAAGCACGCUGUAAUGUUACUUUUGUACCUCAUCACCCACUAAAUGCAUCUACAUUAGUGGUCUAAUAACACUUAGCGCGCUUAGGCACGGUUCCAUCAUGCCGCUUAUAGUGUUGCCACAUAUAAUGCUUAGUCUGCUAAACCCAGUUAUCUGGCUGGUGGGGCAUGGGAGCCCAAGCUUCAAUCAUUAAUGCAAUUAAACAUUACUCGAUUUACGACAUGAUUGAUCCAAAUAUUAGAUAAUUGUUCGAUCUGUGUUCUUAAAAUGUAGCCCUGAAUGUAGCAUAAAAUAUACAAGCUUCUAGUCCAAAUGCAUAAAGAUAGUUCAGAUUCACUGUUUUUCAGAAUUUUCUCAAGCAAUCAGUAACAAAAGUAAAAAGCAGAAAUAGAUCAAAUCAUGCCAAAAUGUUCAUAAUCGCUUGUAAAAUAAAACUAUUCCAAAACAUUAGAAUUUUCUGUUUCACAAUAGAAAACAAUUCCCAAACCUUUGGAUAGGGAAAAACAGUAUGUUCUGUAAUCACAAUUGAAAGCAAUUCCAGAACAAUAGAAUCUAAUGUGUAAUUAAGUCAGUGCUCAAAGAACAAUAUGAAAACAUAAGAAUCUUGUGUAUCACAAUAGAAAACAAUUCCCAAACCAUUGAAUCAAAUGUGGAAUCAGUAAUAAAAUUACUACUCAAAACAAUA
Aedes albopictus (Asian tiger mosquito) is the source of this 1589-nucleotide long non-coding RNA. RefSeq lists it as uncharacterized. The transcript is spliced from 2 exons. The record is from RefSeq and is a predicted model, not a curated record. Lineage: Eukaryota; Metazoa; Arthropoda; Insecta; Diptera; Culicidae.